This is a long non-coding RNA of Mesocricetus auratus (golden hamster), 615 nucleotides long. RefSeq lists it as uncharacterized. Lineage: Eukaryota; Metazoa; Chordata; Mammalia; Rodentia; Cricetidae. The record is from RefSeq and is a predicted model, not a curated record. The transcript has 3 exons.
ACAAAAUAUAUCAUAAAGACAAGCUCACAUACACAUGAAUCAGAAAACAACCUUUGAAAAUUAAAAAUAAAUUAGCCAACUAACGGAGCUCAGAUUCCUAUAACAAAAUGCCAUUACUUGGGUGUUUCUAGAGGAGAGGCUGACAUGCUGUCAGCUUUAGUGUUUGAUGUGGGAUCUCUCUUUCAUAGAUGUUGUGUCCUGGCCUGCUGGAAGGGAAGAAUAGACUUGCUUAGGCCUGUUUUACAAGGAGGUCCUCCCGGGGGAGUCUACUCCCAUGACUUCGGCCAAUAAGUUCCCAGUGUGCUUUGUAUAUUCUGCUUGGAGCAAUCCCCGGACAUUUCACCUCCUAUCACCCGACCCAGACACCACCAGCCUGAUCGCCAGUGCUUGCUGCUGGAACCCCAAAAUGCUGUUAGCUGUGUGAGCAUCUAGAGUUCAGCCUCCCGGAAAACGAGAAGCCCUUCACAGACACAGCCAGAGGCACGCUCCCGUGGAGACGGAUUCUAAAUCCAGUCGCGGUGACAGUGAGGAUGAGCCACCACAGACGGCUACCCAGAAGGCACCACCAAUAAAGGCCUGGAAUGAGAUGAGUGAGAGCUCAGGGGGGUCUGGGGA